GGGUUGUGAGGUUAAGCGACUAAGCGUACACGGUGGAUGCCCUGGCAGUCAGAGGCGAUGAAGGACGUGCUAAUCUGCGAUAAGCGUCGGUAAGGUGAUAUGAACCGUUAUAACCGGCGAUUUCCGAAUGGGGAAACCCAGUGUGAUUCGUCACACUAUCAUUAACUGAAUCCAUAGGUUAAUGAGGCGAACCGGGGGAACUGAAACAUCUAAGUACCCCGAGGAAAAGAAAUCAACCGAGAUUCCCCCAGUAGCGGCGAGCGAACGGGGAGCAGCCCAGAGCCUGAAUCAGUGUGUGUGUUAGUGGAAGCGUCUGGAAAGGCGCGCGAUACAGGGUGACAGCCCCGUACACAAAAAUGCACAUGCUGUGAGCUCGAUGAGUAGGGCGGGACACGUGGUAUCCUGUCUGAAUAUGGGGGGACCAUCCUCCAAGGCUAAAUACUCCUGACUGACCGAUAGUGAACCAGUACCGUGAGGGAAAGGCGAAAAGAACCCCGGCGAGGGGAGUGAAAAAGAACCUGAAACCGUGUACGUACAAGCAGUGGGAGCACGCUUAGGCGUGUGACUGCGUACCUUUUGUAUAAUGGGUCAGCGACUUAUAUUCUGUAGCAAGGUUAACCGAAUAGGGGAGCCGAAGGGAAACCGAGUCUUAACUGGGCGUUAAGUUGCAGGGUAUAGACCCGAAACCCGGUGAUCUAGCCAUGGGCAGGUUGAAGGUUGGGUAACACUAACUGGAGGACCGAACCGACUAAUGUUGAAAAAUUAGCGGAUGACUUGUGGCUGGGGGUGAAAGGCCAAUCAAACCGGGAGAUAGCUGGUUCUCCCCGAAAGCUAUUUAGGUAGCGCCUCGUGAAUUCAUCUCCGGGGGUAGAGCACUGUUUCGGCAAGGGGGUCAUCCCGACUUACCAACCCGAUGCAAACUGCGAAUACCGGAGAAUGUUAUCACGGGAGACACACGGCGGGUGCUAACGUCCGUCGUGAAGAGGGAAACAACCCAGACCGCCAGCUAAGGUCCCAAAGUCAUGGUUAAGUGGGAAACGAUGUGGGAAGGCCCAGACAGCCAGGAUGUUGGCUUAGAAGCAGCCAUCAUUUAAAGAAAGCGUAAUAGCUCACUGGUCGAGUCGGCCUGCGCGGAAGAUGUAACGGGGCUAAACCAUGCACCGAAGCUGCGGCAGCGACGCUUAUGCGUUGUUGGGUAGGGGAGCGUUCUGUAAGCCUGUGAAGGUGUACUGUGAGGUAUGCUGGAGGUAUCAGAAGUGCGAAUGCUGACAUAAGUAACGAUAAAGCGGGUGAAAAGCCCGCUCGCCGGAAGACCAAGGGUUCCUGUCCAACGUUAAUCGGGGCAGGGUGAGUCGACCCCUAAGGCGAGGCCGAAAGGCGUAGUCGAUGGGAAACAGGUUAAUAUUCCUGUACUUGGUGUUACUGCGAAGGGGGGACGGAGAAGGCUAUGUUGGCCGGGCGACGGUUGUCCCGGUUUAAGCGUGUAGGCUGGUUUUCCAGGCAAAUCCGGAAAAUCAAGGCUGAGGCGUGAUGACGAGGCACUACGGUGCUGAAGCAACAAAUGCCCUGCUUCCAGGAAAAGCCUCUAAGCAUCAGGUAACAUCAAAUCGUACCCCAAACCGACACAGGUGGUCAGGUAGAGAAUACCAAGGCGCUUGAGAGAACUCGGGUGAAGGAACUAGGCAAAAUGGUGCCGUAACUUCGGGAGAAGGCACGCUGAUAUGUAGGUGAAGUCCCUCGCGGAUGGAGCUGAAAUCAGUCGAAGAUACCAGCUGGCUGCAACUGUUUAUUAAAAACACAGCACUGUGCAAACACGAAAGUGGACGUAUACGGUGUGACGCCUGCCCGGUGCCGGAAGGUUAAUUGAUGGGGUUAGCGCAAGCGAAGCUCUUGAUCGAAGCCCCGGUAAACGGCGGCCGUAACUAUAACGGUCCUAAGGUAGCGAAAUUCCUUGUCGGGUAAGUUCCGACCUGCACGAAUGGCGUAAUGAUGGCCAGGCUGUCUCCACCCGAGACUCAGUGAAAUUGAACUCGCUGUGAAGAUGCAGUGUACCCGCGGCAAGACGGAAAGACCCCGUGAACCUUUACUAUAGCUUGACACUGAACAUUGAGCCUUGAUGUGUAGGAUAGGUGGGAGGCUUUGAAGUGUGGACGCCAGUCUGCAUGGAGCCGACCUUGAAAUACCACCCUUUAAUGUUUGAUGUUCUAACGUGGACCCGUAAUCCGGGUUGCGGACAGUGUCUGGUGGGUAGUUUGACUGGGGCGGUCUCCUCCUAAAGAGUAACGGAGGAGCACGAAGGUUGGCUAAUCCUGGUCGGACAUCAGGAGGUUAGUGCAAUGGCAUAAGCCAGCUUGACUGCGAGCGUGACGGCGCGAGCAGGUGCGAAAGCAGGUCAUAGUGAUCCGGUGGUUCUGAAUGGAAGGGCCAUCGCUCAACGGAUAAAAGGUACUCCGGGGAUAACAGGCUGAUACCGCCCAAGAGUUCAUAUCGACGGCGGUGUUUGGCACCUCGAUGUCGGCUCAUCACAUCCUGGGGCUGAAGUAGGUCCCAAGGGUAUGGCUGUUCGCCAUUUAAAGUGGUACGCGAGCUGGGUUUAGAACGUCGUGAGACAGUUCGGUCCCUAUCUGCCGUGGGCGCUGGAGAACUGAGGGGGGCUGCUCCUAGUACGAGAGGACCGGAGUGGACGCAUCACUGGUGUUCGGGUUGUCAUGCCAAUGGCACUGCCCGGUAGCUAAAUGCGGAAGAGAUAAGUGCUGAAAGCAUCUAAGCACGAAACUUGCCCCGAGAUGAGUUCUCCCUGACUCCUUGAGAGUCCUGAAGGAACGUUGAAGACGACGACGUUGAUAGGCCGGAUGUGUAAGCGCAGCGAUGCGUUGAGCUAACCGGUACUAAUGAACCGUGAGGCUUAACCUUACAACGCCGAAGCUGUU
This 2930-nucleotide ribosomal RNA is filed under the name Escherichia coli. Its description in RNAcentral is "23S ribosomal RNA". It matches the Rfam family "Bacterial large subunit ribosomal RNA". Lineage: Bacteria; Pseudomonadati; Pseudomonadota; Gammaproteobacteria; Enterobacterales; Enterobacteriaceae. The record is from RNAcentral.